Vitis vinifera (wine grape) is the source of this 625-nucleotide long non-coding RNA. RefSeq lists it as uncharacterized. NCBI's taxonomy places the organism in Eukaryota, Viridiplantae, Streptophyta, Magnoliopsida, Vitales, Vitaceae. The record is from RefSeq and is a predicted model, not a curated record. The transcript has 2 exons.
GGAGAGAACACGCAAGGAAGGAAGAAACAGAUUUUUUUGAAGGAGGAAUUUUUUGGCAAGGAGAACACGGAAUAGGGAUUUUUUUUUAGAGAAUACGCAAGAGAGAAUUUUCCAAGCAAAAGAGGACACGUAAUAUUCUUUUUUAAAAGAGAGAGGAACAGAGAAUUUUCUAAGAUGAGCCACUUUAACGCAUCAAAAACGGAUUUUUCUUUAUAACACAGUAUACUUUGAAGGUGGAAGCUUUGCCUGAAGGAGUUGCCCAGAUGGAGAGGGGUGCCUUGGGCUGUGAAGGAGCUUGUGUUGGUGACGGGCUUGGUGCUGCCCAUGAUGGCUUUGGGCUUGGGUUUGAAUUUGGAGCCCAGGCCCAAACCUAUGCUGAAGAUGGAGCCCAAGGCUCUAUUUAAUAAAUGGAUGUGGGCUUAGGCUUAUGGGCUUAGGCUUAUGGAUUUAGGCUUAUAGACUGGGCUUGAUGAAGAUGGGGCUUAUUAGUGGGUUUAGGCUUAUGGACUUGGGCUUGAUGGAUGGAUAUUAUUAUUAUUAUUAUUAUUAUUGUUAUUAUUAUUGUUAUCAUUGUUACAAUUAUUAUUAUUGUUAUUAUCAUUAUUAUUAUUAUUAUUAUCAUUAA